AUGGAGAACGGUGACAAGGCUCCAGAUGUCUUUCCCAUGAUCUCCUCUUGCAAAGGCUCUCCUACCUCCACCCAGGUUUCUGUGGGCUGUCUUGUCGCGGGCUACUUCCCUGAACCUGUCACAAUGCAGUGGAAAAAGGACUCUAGCACCAUCUCUACUGACGUCAAGAACUUCCCAUCAGCACUGGACCUGAGCAAAGGGCUUUUCACCACAAGUACCCAGCUCACCAUCCCAGCUGCCAGUAUGAGUUCCCACACAUACAGCUGCAUUGUAAACCAUCCGAAAACCAAAGCCCACAUAACCAAGACAAUACCAGGUGCCGGUACUGCCCCCACGGUGCGUGUGCUCCACUCCUCCUGCAGUGUUCCAUCAAAGGACAACAACAUAGAGCUGGUGUGCCUCAUCUCCAACUUCGUCCCCUUGCCUGUGGCUGUGGAUUGGCUGGUGGAUGGCACCUCGGGACUUGUGACCUUCAGUACCACAACCCCCCGGAAGAAUGAGGAUGGUAAAACCUACAGCACCACCAGCCAAGCCAACAUCACACAGGAGGAGUGGCUGCAGGGGAAGACAUACACAUGCAAAGUGACCCAUUCAGCAACAGCAACCGAAAAGCAGGACCAUGCCCGGAGAUGCCCAGUAUCAACACAAGCUGCCAGUGACAUCCAAGUCUACGUGGUGCCCCCAAGCCCUGGAGACUUGUAUGUGAAGCAGAGCCCUGAGUUGAUCUGCAUGGUCAUCAACCUGCCCAGCAAAGUGGCACCAAAGGUGACCUGGACCAAGGACUCUCCAGGUGCCCUGAAUGCCAAACCUCUGCAGUGGGUGGAGCAGUCCAAUGGCACCUAUACUGCUACCCGUGCCCUGCCCAUUUUCACCCCAGACUGGGAGAAGAGGCAGAAGUUUACCUGCAAGGUAGAACACCCAGAAUUGCCUUCGCCUCUCACCAAAACAAUCUCCAAAAAGACAGGUAAGCAGAGUGCCCCUGAUGUCUACGUCUUUGCCCCCCACCAUGACGACCUCAACAAGAAAGAGAAUCCUGUCAGCAUCACCUGCCUGGUCGAGGGCUUCUACCCUGAGGACAUCUCAGUGCAGUGGAUGCACAAUCAGACCCCCGUGAAGGACAAUGCCUAUGCCACCACCGCACCCAUGAAAGAGACUCCUGGGGAUUCACCCUACUUCCUCUACAGCAAGCUGAACAUCAACAAGUCCAGCUGGAAUAAUGGAGACAUCUUUACCUGCAUGGUCGUCCAUGAAGCCCUCCCUAUGAAGUUCGUCCAGAAGUCUGUCCAGAAACAACCUGAGGUGUUUGUGCAAGUGGACAUGUGCAGUUAUGAUAAAGAUGAGGAAAUGGAGGGACUCUGGGCCACCAUCUCUGUCUUCAUCACCCUCUUCCUCCUGAGUGUGUGCUACAGUGCCACAGUGACCCUAUUCAAGGUGAAGUGGCUCUUCUCCACUGUGGUGCAGCUCAAGCAAGCAAACGGCUCCGAGUACAAGAAUGUGAUCCAGCGUGUGGUGUAG
Molecule: non-coding RNA, 1515 nt
Organism: Alligator sinensis (Chinese alligator)
Lineage: Eukaryota; Metazoa; Chordata; Crocodylia; Alligatoridae
Source: the annotation of a RefSeq genome assembly